Long non-coding RNA from Prosopis cineraria, 2457 nucleotides. RefSeq lists it as uncharacterized. The record is from RefSeq and is a predicted model, not a curated record. The transcript is spliced from 2 exons. NCBI's taxonomy places the organism in Eukaryota, Viridiplantae, Streptophyta, Magnoliopsida, Fabales, Fabaceae.
GUUUCGUGGAUAUAAACCUCCCCUUGCAGCGUCCAAGUGAAAUCUUCCUCUCCUCCGGUGGGUGCUGCAGCUUUUCUUACAGACUCGAACUCACUUAGAAGUUGACUUCCACUCAAGCCGCAAUCAUUCCCCUUGCCGAGAAUCUUUGAAUUUCAGGGCACUGCCAUUCACAUCCCUCCAAAAUGGCAAUUCCAGCCCAAGUUUCGACCUACAAGGGGAUCUGAACAAUGCCCUCCUCCUGCCUGUAAACCAUGAGUUUGGAAUAAUCAGCUUUUCUGAAAAUGACAAGCAAAGGGGGUCAGGAUUUCUGAACCCACAACCAGCACGACAAGUGCAUCAAUAGAGAGAAUGUGGAAGGGAAAGUAAGGUCCAAGACCAGGAAUUGUAUGAGAUAGUGGUUCGGCCAGUCUUUCCAAAGUAGAAUAUCAAUUAGUUCAAUCAAAGGGGACCAUGGAAGAUGCCUCGAGAGCCCUCCUCCAUACAAAUGCCGUCUUGUUUUGGCGUCCUGCUGUCACAGCACCACUGUAAUGAUCGUCAUCCACAUGCUUAUGGCUCGUUUGGUAGCGAGAAAUUGGCAUAGGAGAAGUGAACGUGAAAGUGAAAGUGAAACCAAUACUUUUCUCUAUUUGGUAUCAUGGAACCCGAUUCUCCAUGGAACCCAGCUCCAUAAAAAACAAUGGAACUCAACUAUUCGCUUAUGUCCAUGAAACUGGGUUCUCUCCUCACUUCCUUCCUCUUUUACCAUAUUUGCUUUUCAAGCUUCUCCCCUCACUACAACCCAAAUGCGAUAGUGCUUGACUGGCGAUAGUGCAUCACAGCCAUAACGAUGGCCAUUGAUUUUUUCGAUUGACUUAUCCAAUUCUUUUGCCCACUAAGGCGAAAAAGGCACAAUUCAAUUUUGGAUUCAAUUCCUUACACGAAUCAUUUUUUUGAUUCAAUUUAUAUUUCUUUGAGUUUGACAUUCUUCAAGCACAAUUUAGUUUUUGUUUUAUUUUUUACUUCUAGAUCAUUUAAGCAUGAUUUGACUUUUACUUCUCAAUUUGAUUUUUGAUUCAGGAUUCUUGAUUUUUGUUUCAAUUAAGACUUCUACUUAAUAGUUUCACACUUUUGACUAAUACUUUUGUUUCUAUUUUUGGUUCACAACUUCUAUUUCUCGAUCUGAUUCAACUUCUAUAAACAAGUCUCUCUCUCUCUCUCUCUAAUUUGAUAGAGAAGGGAUGAUCAGCACGUGUUUUGCGAUUCUAGGACUACUCUUUCAAGUCUAUUGAUAGUAAAGGCUGUAGAUUAAUUGAAUGAAUAGAUACGUGCAUCUACAGUGCUAUUAGAAGAAAAUUAUGUCUGCAAAAUUUUACAAAUCUUUGAUUUUUUAUUCUUUGACUUUGGUGUUUAUCUUCAACUUAGAUUUUUGAUUCUCCAUUUUUAACAUUUUAUGGAAAAAAAUCCUAAGAUUUGGUGGGUUUAUUGUUUGGGUAUUUUGAGAUCUAGUGGAGUGUUUAUUGGUGGAGAUGAACAAUGAAGGCAGGCAAUGAACAUAAAAAAGUUUUUAAUUUUAAGGGUAUUUUAGCCUUUUUAGAAUAUUACUAUAUUUAUUAAAUAUAAUUUAUAUUUUACUUUUAUCUGCAUACCAAACAUACUUUUAUACCCUACUUUCACUUUCAUCAAAAACAUUUGCCCGCACCAAACAGGGCAUUAUUCUUGUGUUGAUCUAUGUGCAUACUUCAAGUUAUUCAUGGCUUUCCAUCUAAUUCUUUCGCACUAGUCCUCAUACUUCAAGUUAUCCUUGUUCUUGCCCCUAUUAAUCAACAUAUACACACCCAAAUAAAUAGUGAAAAUAUGGGGAAGCUUAGGUCUUUGGUCCCAACGCUUCAUGAUCUUUUUGCCGUCCUAUUUAUGUUUAAACUUUCUUUUGUUUCAACUCUGACAUGUAAUUGUCUGUGCUUUUUCUCAUCAAAAUUAAAGGAGCUAGGAAAUGGCCGAAGUUGGGUUAUCCCCGUCAAGGAGACCAUAUGAAAAGGCGACGACAACAUUGGGUGAAACUGAAUAACUCACAGAAAUUAUAUACAACCUCACCCUUCGUGUCAUAGUUAGCAGACUCUUUUUCUCAACUAUCUCGUGGAAUCUCGACAGACAGACGUUGCUUCAUCUACACUUCAAGGGACCUCUCAUCAUCCCUUCACCACUUCCAGAGGACUACCUCUCCUUCUUUGGUUCUGUCAAGCCUCUUCUCCCCUUCACUCUUCUCUCCAUCAUCAGGCCCCUCGAUCUUCUCUUUGCUUGUCGAGGUUUUCAUUAGACCUAGUCGGCUCUCUUUUGAAGCUUGAGUUCUUCCACCAUUAACGGUGGAUGUAAAUUGAGAUUUUUCAUUUCUAGACUAAUUUGAAUUGAGAUUGAUUGUGGAAGAAAAGGACGAUUGUAGUCACUUAUUCAUGAAACGAAUGAAAAGCACGUUUUGAAUUC